Molecule: small nuclear RNA, 107 nt
Filed under: Procavia capensis (Cape rock hyrax)
Lineage: Eukaryota; Metazoa; Chordata; Mammalia; Hyracoidea; Procaviidae
Source: RNAcentral
AUGCUCACGUUGGCAGCAUAUGUGCUAAAACUGGAAUAACACAGAGGAGAAUAGCAUGGUCACUGUGAAAGUAUGACACAUAGAUUUGUGAAGCAUACCAUAGUUUU